This 255-nucleotide ribosomal RNA is filed under the name Escherichia coli. RNAcentral describes it as "partial 23S ribosomal RNA". It matches the Rfam family "Bacterial large subunit ribosomal RNA", at positions 1640 to 1877 of the family's 2925-position model. Lineage: Bacteria; Pseudomonadati; Pseudomonadota; Gammaproteobacteria; Enterobacterales; Enterobacteriaceae. The record is from RNAcentral.
AAUCGUACCCCAAACCGACACAGGUGGUCAGGUAGAGAAUACCAAGGCGCUUGAGAGAACUCGGGUGAAGGAACUAGGCAAAAUGGUGCCGUAACUUCGGGAGAAGGCACGCUGAUAUGUAGGUGAGAUCCCUCGCGGAUGGAGCUGAAAUCAGUCGAAGAUACCAGCUGGCUGCAACUGUUUAUUAAAAACACAGCACUGUGCAAACACGAAAGUGGACGUAUACGGUGUGACGCCUGCCCGGUGCCGGAAGGU